UCGUCAGUGAGGUAUAUCCUUACCUGUUCCUCCUCCGGGAGAACAGCACAUGAUGAAUGGAGGUGCAUGAGACAUGAUUAAAGUCUCCCUGGCCCAGGAGCAGCAACACCUGGGCUGGCUCCUUUCUGAU
Eublepharis macularius is the source of this 130-nucleotide small nucleolar RNA. RefSeq annotates it as U8 small nucleolar RNA. The transcript has a single exon. The record is from RefSeq and is a predicted model, not a curated record. Lineage: Eukaryota; Metazoa; Chordata; Lepidosauria; Squamata; Eublepharidae.